RNAcentral lists this ribosomal RNA (548 nucleotides) under Mastacembelus armatus (zig-zag eel). Its description in RNAcentral is "partial 16S ribosomal RNA". It matches the Rfam family "Bacterial large subunit ribosomal RNA", at positions 1807 to 2570 of the family's 2925-position model. The record is from RNAcentral. Lineage: Eukaryota; Metazoa; Chordata; Actinopteri; Synbranchiformes; Mastacembelidae.
UCAAAAACAUCGCCUCUUGCAACACAACAUAUAAGAGGUCCCGCCUGCCCUGUGACACCCCAGUUUAACGGCCGCGGUAUCCUGACCGUGCAAAGGUAGCGCAAUCACUUGUCUUUUAAAUGAAGACCUGUAUGAAUGGCAUAACGAAGGCUUAACUGUCUCCUUUCUCUAGUCAAUGAAAUUGAUCUCCCCGUGCAGAAGCGGGGAUAAUCCCAUAAGACGAGAAGACCCUGUGGAGCUUUAGACACAAAGCAGAUCUGGCAAACCCACACCCCCCCAAGCUAAAAGAACCCUGCUCUAAUGUCUUCGGUUGGGGCGACCACGGGGAAACAAACAACCCCCACGCAGAAUAAGAGAACACCCUCUUAAAAACGAGAGCCACCACUCCAAAAAACAGAACUUCUGACUACAAGAUCCGGAAACACCGAUCAACGAACCAAGUUACCCCAGGGAUAACAGCGCAAUCCUCUUCAAGAGCCCAUAUCGACAAGAGGGUUUACGACCUCGAUGUUGGAUCAGGACAUCCUAAUGGUGCAGCCGCUAUAAGG